This 90-nucleotide transfer RNA is filed under the name Deltaproteobacteria bacterium. Its description in RNAcentral is "tRNA-Ser". It matches the Rfam family "tRNA". From Rfam's summary of the family: Transfer RNA (tRNA) molecules are approximately 80 nucleotides in length. Their secondary structure includes four short double-helical elements and three loops (D, anti-codon, and T loops). The record is from RNAcentral. Lineage: Bacteria; Pseudomonadati; Myxococcota; Myxococcia.
GGAGGGAUGGCUGAGUGGCCUAAAGCGGCGGUCUUGAAAACCGUUGGGCGUUCACGCGCCCCGUGGGUUCGAAUCCUACUCCCUCCGCCA